Molecule: ribosomal RNA, 498 nt
Filed under: uncultured bacterium
Lineage: Bacteria
Description: partial 16S ribosomal RNA
Rfam family: Bacterial small subunit ribosomal RNA
Source: RNAcentral
AUUGAACGCUGGCGGCAUGCCUUACACAUGCAAGUCGAACGGUAACGGGCCUUCGGGUGCCGACGAGUGGCGAACGGGUGAGUAAUACAUCGGAACGUGCCCGAUCGUGGGGGAUAACGAGGCGAAAGCUUUGCUAAUACCGCAUACGAUCUACGGCUGAAAGCAGGGGACGGCAAGGCCUUGCGCGGACGGAGCGGCCGAUGGCAGAUUAGGUAGUUGGGGGGAUAAAAGCUUACCAAGCCGACGAUCUGUAGCUGGUCUGAGAGGAUGAUCAGCCACACGGGGACUGAGACACGGCCCAGACUCCUACGGGAGGCAGCAGUGGGGAAUUUUGGACAAUGGGCGCAAGCCUGAUCCAGCCAUGCCGCGUGCAGGAUGAAGGCCUUCGGGUUGUAAACUGCUUUUGUACGGAACGAAAAGCCUUCUUCUAAUACAGGAGGGUCAUGACGGUACCGUAAGAAUAAGCACCGGCUAACUACGUGCCAGCCGCCGCUGUAA